UGUAAAGUUUAGCUUAAAAGUCAUUAUAUUAAGUCUUUAUUUUACAGACAUGGAUAAAACUUUUUAUAAAAAAUUUGGUAGUUCUUAUCUUUUGUAUAAUGGUUGAACUAAAAUUGUAUCUUUUGAUUUUUCCCGAAAUGAGAAGAGCUAAUUACUAGCUUUGAACUGGAAUAAGCGAGUUAUGUGGAAAUAUGGCUUAUAGACUAGUAAUUAGGGAUGAAAUGUCUUCAAUUCUCAAGAUAUCUGGAAGUUCCUGAAAAGCAUUUAGUGCUGUUAAGUGAGACGGUGAAGUGUUUAGAUUUCCCGUUUAGUUAGUAUGGAUGAUCUAUUUAAGUUUUCUAUGAUUAAUCCCCUAGUUUAAUUUUAUUUUAAUUAAUUUAUUUCUUAAUAUAUCUAUUAGAAUAUGGAACAUUUUUAGGUAAUUUAACUUAAAAUUAAAAAUGUUUAAAUUAGUAGUAAUUGAAAUAUUAACUCGAAUUUAUUUGAAUAAGAAUUUGUGAGUAAUUUUUAAAUAGCAAGAAGGAACUCGGCAAAUAUAGACUUGGACUGUUUAACAAAAACAUAGCCAUAAGUUUACAUUUUUGGUUUAACCUGCCCAAUGUAUAAAAAUAAUGAAUGGCCGCGGUACCCUGACCGUGCUAAGGUAGCGUAAUCAGUUGGCUUUUAAAUGGAGUCAGGAAUGAAUGGAAUAACCUGGUCUAGCUGUCUCCUGGUUAUUUAGUCUAAUUUACUGAUCAAGUGAAAAAGCUUGAAAAAAGAAAAGGGACGAGAAGACCCUUAGAAUUUUACUAAUAAUAAGAUAAAUAUUCUUACAUUUGUUUUGUUGGGGUGACAAAGAAAUAUAUUCAAACUUUCUUUACUUACAAGCCGAGUUUUAUUAAGCAAGAAUAAAUUACCUGAGGGAUAACAGCAUAAUUCUAUAAGUGAGUUUGUGACCUCGAUGUUGGACUAGGAAACUAACAAGUUAGCCGUUUGUUGUGUUGGUUCUGUUCGAACUUUAAUUCCUACAUGAUCUGAGUUCAGACCGGCGUAAGCCAGGUCAGAUUCUAUCUUUUUAUAUAAUAGCUUUAGUACGAAAGGACCGAGUUGUUUUAUGUGAUAUAAAUAA
RNAcentral lists this ribosomal RNA (1108 nucleotides) under Dermatobranchus otome. RNAcentral's name for it is "16S ribosomal RNA". The stretch from base 505 to 752 matches the Rfam family "Archaeal large subunit ribosomal RNA", at positions 1784 to 2143 of the family's 2987-position model. Lineage: Eukaryota; Metazoa; Mollusca; Gastropoda; Nudibranchia; Arminidae. The record is from RNAcentral.